UACGUAGGUGGCAAGCGUUGUCCGGAAUUAUUGGGCGUAAAGCGUGCGCAGGCGGUCCCUUAAGUCUGAUGUGAAAGCCCACGGCUCAACCGUGGAGGGUCAUUGGAAACUGGGGGACUUGAGUACAGAAGAGGAAAGUGGAAUUCCAUGUGUAGCGGUGAAAUGCGUAGAGAUGUGGAGGAACACCAGUGGCGAAGGCGGCUCUUUGGCCUAUAACUGACGCUGAGGCACGAAAGCAUGGGUAGCGAACAGG
This 253-nucleotide unclassified non-coding RNA is filed under the name uncultured Caryophanales bacterium. RNAcentral describes it as "uncultured Bacillales bacterium contains 16S-23S intergenic spacer region". It matches the Rfam family "Bacterial small subunit ribosomal RNA", at positions 524 to 776 of the family's 1533-position model. The record is from RNAcentral. Lineage: Bacteria; Bacillati; Bacillota; Bacilli; Caryophanales.